Amaranthus tricolor (Joseph's coat) is the source of this 523-nucleotide long non-coding RNA. RefSeq lists it as uncharacterized. Lineage: Eukaryota; Viridiplantae; Streptophyta; Magnoliopsida; Caryophyllales; Amaranthaceae. The transcript is spliced from 3 exons. The record is from RefSeq and is a predicted model, not a curated record.
CCCGGUUUUAAAACCGGGAAUUCGGGUCGGAUACGGAUCGCGAAAUUUGGAAAACCGGGUACCCGGUAUCCGGUUUGAUUUUUUUUUUUUUUUUAUUUUAAUAUAAAAAGACAAUUGAAAACCCUAAAUCAGUUCUUCCUCCUUGCCGUCUUCAUUCUGUCUUCUUCCUCCUUCUUUCGUGCUGCGCCCGCCUGCACAUUCAAUCUUCCUCAAUUUUUGCCGUCUUCUUCACUCUGCACUGAGACGCCAUCUUGCUUCUUCAAUCUUCAAUUCUUGACGUCGUCAUCUUGCUUCUUCUUCACCGUUCACGCCGUCAUCUUUAAUUGGAUUUAUUCACCCAUUUUCGGUAGUGAAUUGAAUUGAAGAUCUACAUGGAUUCUUACCCACCGCUUCCACCAUCUAGAUUUUCGUAUUGUACAACUAGCGAUGAACAUGGGGUCGUCUUUUGAUGAUAAUGGAAAUUCACUACCGAAUGAAGGGACUCAAUUUGAAGAGAGUGUUGAUCGCUUGUUCGAUGAGUAAU